AAUUAACGCUGGCGGCAUGCCUAACACAUGCAAGUCGCACGAGAAAGCCCGGUUCGCCGGGCGAGUAAAGUGGCGCACGGGUGAGUAACGCGUGGAUAAUCUACCUCGUUCUGGGGGAUAACCCAUCGAAAGGUGGGCUAAUACCGCAUAAUCCGGCUGAAUUUCGGUUUGGUCGGCAAAGGUGGCCUCUUGAUCAAAGCUACCGGGAAGAGAUGAGUCCGCGUCCCAUUAGCUAGUUGGUAGGGUAAUGGCCUACCAAGGCUUCGACGGGUAGCCGGCUUGAGAGAGCGAUCGGCCACAAGGGGACUGAGACACGGCCCCUACUCCUACGGGAGGCUG
RNAcentral lists this ribosomal RNA (339 nucleotides) under uncultured Pseudomonadota bacterium. Its description in RNAcentral is "bacterial SSU rRNA". It matches the Rfam family "Bacterial small subunit ribosomal RNA", at positions 29 to 351 of the family's 1533-position model. The record is from RNAcentral. Lineage: Bacteria; Pseudomonadati; Pseudomonadota.